RNAcentral lists this unclassified non-coding RNA (2482 nucleotides) under Orbicella faveolata. RNAcentral's name for it is "uncharacterized LOC110050220, transcript variant X3". The record is from RNAcentral. Lineage: Eukaryota; Metazoa; Cnidaria; Anthozoa; Scleractinia; Merulinidae.
UAAUACUAUCUGGUUAGACAUAAAAGCGAUUCAGGAAGUGAAAUACCCAAAUUUGACUGCAGUUCUCUUCCUCAUUUGUUUUAUUACACAAGUUUAAAAUGAGCUGUCCCUCACUUAACUUAAAGUAAAAGAGAACAGUCAGCAUAUGUGUGUGUUACGGUUGGUGAAGAAUGAGUGCUAUUCCAAACUUCAGAUUCCACAGUUCCGUGCUGAAAAUUCUCCACUCGGGAAAGAUUGGGCACUAGCUAUAGAACUGUUAUGUCAAAAUGGAACGAAAUGGUGGCUUAGGCCUGUGGGAGGAAGGAGUUGAAACAUUAGCGCCGAGCGAUAACAGAGGCCGUUUUUUCUGAAAGUGAACACAGUUGAAGCUCUGUAUCCAUGUGCGUGUGGUGGAAAAGACAAGCUGUAUUGUAUACUCAAGGUGGUUACCUCCACCAGCAUACAAUGCCAUAAUUUAGAUGAUGCUGAACCUGCUUUCACAUCUUUAACAUACAUGCAAAGUGUCAGUGGACCUGUCCAAGUGUGAUUUUUCUACUGAUUAUGGAAAUCACGAUAAAGAUACAGAGCCACUCUGGUGUGAUAUCUUCCUCGACAGUGAAAUGCAACCUAACCAAAAGUUGCAUUCUGUAAGAGAUUUACAAAAAUUAAAUGGAAAAUUUAACUACAUCAAUUUGUAUUAAUUUCAUAAGUACUCCUCUCUCCAAAAUAUAUUUGGUAUGUUGUCUUACUGGUAACAAUGUAAUUUGGAAAUUUUAUGGGAAAUGUUUCCAUUUAAAAAAUAUCCAGCUCAGGCACAAUAACACUAAUUCUCCUUUCUGCAGUGUUUUCUUCUGUGUGAAAGUUUGAAAACAAAUUCUAUUACCGGCCACAUGUAAGUUGAGAAAUAUGGGAGCUCCUCUGAAAAAAUUGUUAGUUAUGUUUUUCUGUUCAUUUUUUCACUGAUGUAGAAAAGGUAGUUGAUUAAAAAGAGAAGAGGAAUUGAUCAUUGUAGAGUUCUUCUUGGUGCUGCAGUCAAAAACAGGAAAAUGAACAUCUUUUGGCCAAACGUGAUGCAUAGGUUCUGAUGUCCAAAUAAUAUUAUGGUUGCUUAUUGAAACCCUUUAGGUGGCUGAAUUCGUUCUUUGGUGAAAUCAUUUUAUAAUAAAUAAUUAUUUAUUACAUAUUUGAAAUAGACUUCAACUGAGCACAACAACAAAACUCAAGAUGAACACUGCUUUUAAUAGGAACAGUUUCUUAUUAAGUCCACUGAAAUACUGACUACCAUAAUGUAGCACAUAAAAGCUAAGAGGAUACAUUGUAACCAACAGUCUCCUAUACAUGCAGAUUAUACAUUUUUUAUUGAGUUAUAAAUAACAUAAUCUUUACAGCAGCAGGACACACAUGUAGAAGUACAGCAUGAUAACAACCAUUUUAAGAAAAUGAAAAUUCAACAGGUGUAAGCUGAAACAGUUAGGAUAGCUCAUACUUCAGAUAAACAUUGCAGUAUUUGUACUUAAUUAAUAGAGACAGAUUGACGCAUUCUACUUUUGUGUUCCCUUAUGAUAGAGUCUAAUAGUUUCAUCUAAUUGUAGUCCCAAUAUAAAGGACCGAUGUUACUCUACGUGUAUAUAUUCAUGUAUAGGAACAUAAUACAGAGCUGCUAAUUUUAAGUUGAAGUUGUAUUUCUGUAUUUCCACUGUAAAGUUAUUAGGUUCAUUUCUGAGUUAAGUUUUGACACAGGUGAGUUCAGGUGGAUUUCACUUGUUGAGAUUCUUGACUUUAAGAAACCUACAUGAAGUUCGAAGGUGUUUCCAACUCUGCAAUUAUACGUGCAGUUUUAAAUAUGUGCUUGUAACCAAUAUCUUUUGCAUACAAUGAGUUUCAACAGUUCAAGUGGCAGCAUAUCUUAUUCUCUCUGUAAGCAGGGGUAUUCCACAUUCAUCUGUAAUUGUCAGAUUAGUUCCAUGAAGUCUUUAGGGUGACUUAAAGCCAGUUUCUACGAAGUCUUUCAAUAUCAUUUUUGGCAGCUGAUAAACACAUAUAGCAUCAGUAAUGGUGUUGUUAAUAUUAACAUCUGCUCACUGCCACUUGCAUAUUAUACUGUAGUUGUUACUGCAGCGUUCAUCUGGGUUAUUUGCAUAUGCACAAUAGUACAACUUCACCUGCAAUAUGAAAUAAAGAUAAUAGUCCCUUAUUUUAAAAGGUUAUAAAAAUGAAUGCAGAAAAAUUAUUCAUGUGUAUCUUUAAUUUGCUGCCCUUUCCCCUCCCCACUACCUAACCCCAAUAAAAAUAAGCUACAGCUAUACUUACCGAAAUGUGAUGUCCAAGUGAUAUUUCUUGCUUUUCUGGAAAGGGUUUAAGAACGAAAAUGCCAGGUAUAAGUGGCAUGCUUUCCUUCAAGAAACAUUGGAACUGAAAUAAUUCCUUUAACCUGAAAAAUUUAUUCUUAUGUACAGCAUCUGCAAAUUCUGGUAGAGUUACAUGUAAUUCUGAAUCUCUAUAA